ACACGACUCUCGGCAACGGAUAUCUCGGCUCUCGCAUCGAUGAAGAACGUAGCGAAAUGCGAUACCUGGUGUGAAUUGCAGAAUCCCGCGAACCAUCGAGUCUUUGAACGCAAGUUGCGCCCGAGGCCACUUGGCCGAGGGCACGCCUGCCUGGGCGUCACGC
This 163-nucleotide ribosomal RNA is filed under the name Poa pratensis (Kentucky bluegrass). Its description in RNAcentral is "5.8S ribosomal RNA". It matches the Rfam family "5.8S ribosomal RNA". Rfam says of the family: 5.8S ribosomal RNA (5.8S rRNA) is a component of the large subunit of the eukaryotic ribosome. It is transcribed by RNA polymerase I as part of the 45S precursor that also contains 18S and 28S rRNA. RNAcentral also lists the same sequence under 59 other names. The record is from RNAcentral. Lineage: Eukaryota; Viridiplantae; Streptophyta; Magnoliopsida; Poales; Poaceae.